This 447-nucleotide ribosomal RNA is filed under the name uncultured bacterium. Its description in RNAcentral is "SSU rRNA". It matches the Rfam family "Bacterial small subunit ribosomal RNA", at positions 26 to 518 of the family's 1533-position model. The record is from RNAcentral.
AGAACGAACGCUGGCGGCAGGCUUAACACAUGCAAGUCGAACGCGUGUAGCAAUACACGAGUGGCGCACGGGUGAGUAACGCGUGGAUAUCUGCCUUUUGGUUCGGAAUAACCCCGGGAAACUGGGGCUAAUACCGGAUGGUUCCUACGGGAUAAAGAUUUAUCGCCAAAAGAUGAGUCCGCGUACGAUUAGCUAGUUGGUGAGGUAAUGGCUCACCAAGGCGACGAUCGUUAGCUGGUCUGAGAGGACGAUCAGCCACACUGGGACUGAGACACGGCCCAGACUCCUACGGGAGGCAGCAGUGGGGAAUAUUGGACAAUGGGGGCAACCCUGAUCCAGCCAUGCCGCGUGAGUGAUGAAGGCCUUCGGGUUGUAAAGCUCUUUCGCUCGGGACGAUAAUGACGGUACCGAGAUAAGAAGCCCCGGCUACUUCGUGCCAGCAGCCGC